UGCCUGGACAGAUUUCACUAUAAAUAUUGAGGACUCAAAAGGACUUACUAUAAAAUUUUGAGAGCCAAAAAAAACUGAUUUAUGAUGCCCUAUUCUCACCAAAACAUCCUAUUCUCUUUCUCAUCCAGUGUCUCACCUAUUUUCACUUGUCCCUGGGGCGCAUCUUUCCAUUUUUACAAAGGAAGAGGACAACGGAGAACCCAGUGAGCAGUCCAAAUUUGGUGGCAAUGACGGGCUCUGACAUGAACUUCCUAUGGCAUUUGGUAACCACAAGAAACACAGGGCUGGCACCCCAUGAGCCCUUUGAGUUCACUGUCUUUCUCGCCACCUCCGAAAGCCAUGGAAAUGUCUUUUUAAUACUUGAUUACUUGAAUCAUAAGUAGGUCUAACUCUGGGAACAUGCUUGCAUCAUCACUCAACUGAAUGGACCUAGACUGACUGACUCCAUGAGAUGGAACGUUUAUCAACUCAAUUUUUAAUGUGAACCUUCCGUGGAAGUUUCAGGGGAGGGAACCGUAGGGACCAAGGGCAGGCUGCCCUAAGAUGUGCCAUUGUGACAUGCAGAUUAUUUCAGAAUUGAGAAGAAUUGAGGUCCAAAAGACUCAAAAAGAAACUUUGAGACCUCCCAACCCCCAACUGCAUAAAAAGAGUUUAGGUAGAAGACCUGCUCCAGGAAGAGAGCUGUCACCAUGGAUGGCUAGAUUAUAAAGUGAACUGGGUGUGUUAGACAGGGAGGAAUAUGGCUAAGUCUGUUAAAAUACCUCUGUGCCCCCCACAUUGUUUCUGCAUGGCCCAUCAAACAUUUGCUUAUCAAACAUUUACUCCUUUCAUAUUCCCUUGAUAGCUUCUCUUUUCCUUUGAAGUCUCACACCCUUACCCCCUUCUCCUUGAUUUCAGGAUGACAUAUAUACCUCAUUCUCCCUGUAUGUUCAUAAAUAAACUUUGUUUUUUCUCCUAUUAAGAAAUAAAUUAAAAAAAGAAAAAAUAAAUAAAAACACCUGUCCUUGUUUUACAACUAUAAUCUUUAUAGGACCAAAGGUAUGGCUCCAGAAACAAUUCAAAGUCCAUCAGUUCUUUUUAUCACUCUCCAAACCUGUCCUAUUUAUUUCAAUAAAAAGCUUGCAUUUUCUUCCCCCUGGGACCUUGACGUGUAAAUGUUCUACGUGGUCUUCUCCAGAAACUCUUAUUUAGGCAGUCUCUUUAAAAUGAGAAUUUUAGGGAGGUAAUUCAUAUCAGAAGAAAGAAGAAAAGACAGAAAAGUUGUUUGGAACUUGACUUGUCAAGGACAAAUACAAAUCUUAAGAGUGUUCUCUACAAAUAUCAGAAAAAGUUUUAGUCAUCUGAGCAGGUACCUUAAUCUAUCCGUCUACCAGAAAAACAACUUACCUCCAACUUCUUUUAUAACUAGUUAAUUUUGUAUUAAUGUAUCUAAUUAAUGGCAAUAAUUUUAAAAAUGAAAGCUAUAAUAGGUGUCUGUUUGCAUAGGUCUGUAUUUCAUGUGUAUAUAUGUUGUUAAUGUGUGGUAUUUUCUGACUCUGGAUGGUAUUGACAAAAUUAAUUUGUAAAAGAGAAAGCUUUAUUUAAUAAGCUUAAAGAAAAUUAAGCACUUAUAUAAAUUAAAUUCUCAGAAAUAUAAUAGAAACUUAAUCCAAAUGAAUUUCAGAUUCCCAUGAUCUGGAAAAAUAUUGAGUACUAAAGCUAGUUUAAGUUUGUUGGUUUAAUUAAAACAGGCAUGUCUUUAGAGUUAUCAUCAUUAAAUAAAUGAACUUUUCAGUAAUACUUAUAUCUACUUAAACAGUUUCCUCAAAUCUUUGGGGCAACUUAAACUUUAGAGUUCUGCUAUGUAAUAUUAGAUGAUGGAUAGUCAUUAAAUACCUAGAUCAUUUCCAAAUAAGAUAAAAUACUGAAAUAUUAAUUACUGAACAUAGUCUCCCUGAUAUUGGCUUAUUACAAAGAAACUAAAAAAUACUUGGAUGUGUUAGUACUACAUCAGAAAAUUGAAAAAGACAUGUUUUUAGAAAUUAUGAAAUAUAUACUUAUAAAUUUGUAAAUCUAAAGAAUGCUGGUUUAACAGUUCAUAAUUGCUUAUUUCUAAGUUUUCACUAGAAAUUAAGGUUUCUAGGGUUAAGAAUUCAAAUUGCUAUAUGUAAUUAAAUCUAUUAGAAAUAUUAUAAAGGAAACGUCUUUGUAUGUACAGUAAUUAAAAUGUGUAUUUUCCUUGAAGGUAUAAAGAAUAGAAAUGCAUUUUUGAGGGAAAACAAAGUUGUAGAAAGUUUGUGAAAAAGGAAUCUUUGGAAAGGAAUUUUAUGUGUGGUCAAGAAUAAGAUUUGAAUGAAUACAUUUUAAUGGUAAAAGUCAUUGUGCAAACCUCGAAUUUGGUUUUCUCUCUGUUAAAAGGACAAAGUGUUCUUGGACUACUGGUCUGCUCUUGAUAAGAAAUUUAAAAGGUUUUUUAUCUUUUAGGUAAUCUGUUCAGAAAACAAAGAUUCUUAAUUUUGCCCAAAUAAUUUUCUGCAUUGUCUUUAUCAGGUCUUUCAUUACUUAAGAAAGCUGAACUCUUUCUAUCAAGAAAAACUAAGGCCAAAAGUUGUUCUUGACGACAGGAUAGCCCUUGAUUAUGUUUUAGCUGAGCAAGGAGGUGUCUGUGCUGUGGCCAACAUCACCUGCUAUACUUGACCUAACACUUUUGUGGAAGUUGAAACAGUUAUGUAAGAUCCCUGAGCAAGCCACUUGGCUUAAACAGGUGACUCCUUCCUUGGCAUCCUCCUGUGAUUGGCUUGGGUCUCGGGGACCAAGACAUUGGGAAUUAUCCUGCUUAUAGUUAUAAUCAUUUCCCUAAUGUGUUGUAUUUUCUCAAAAGCUUUCAAUGCACAUUCAUAGCCACUAAUCAUCAAGCAAAUAAUCUCCCUAAAAAUGAAAAAUAAAAAAAGGAACCAAAUGAAUGACUAAUUUAUAGAAAGUGAACCUGAAGCUGUGACCUGUGAGUGUCACAGGGCUUAAACCAAAAUCUCAUGACCUGUGGACACCACACAAAAGGAUCAGCAAAAUCUAUGAGAACUUCAGAGGAGUACCUGAGAGUGGCUCUAAUGCUUCAAAAUUUGAUUACAUGUCUCAGGGAAGCUGAGAGUCUGAUCAAAACAGGAAAUUGUUAAAAAGAAACCACAGGCCCAAAAUAGAGUCACUGAUUCUAGGCCAAGUCGCCAGACCAGGCUUAGUAUAUAACUUAACUGCAGUUUCAACCUACUCCAGAAAUGUAGACUUAACCUGUGGGUCAUGAAUUUUCUGCUUAUUGAAAUAAUCUGUCAAAUGAGCCCCGGCUAUCACCAGAGGGAGAUGAAAGUCCCAAACCCACCUGAAAAGACUCCAUAUACUUCCCUCUAAAAUAAUGUGACCUUGCCUGAAACUCUUUAGUUUCUUUUCCUAAUUGUCCCACCCGGUUUUUGCCUAUAAAAUCCCUCCAUUCUGCAGAGUUCCUUGGAGCAUCUCUCUAGUUGCUAGAUGGGAAACAGCCCGAUUCAUGAAUAGCUAAAUGAAUCCAAUUAGGUCUUCAAAUAUACUCCGUUGAAUAUGCGUCUUUACGAGGUGGCAGGUACAAACUGAUGGUGGUCAGUCCCCAUUACGACUGGCUGCCUGACGGGGUCAUGUGAUUCUGCUGCAGUCAAGGGUCCCCUUCCCAGAUGUCUCUUACUGGGGAAUCCCCCAGCCAGUCCACCACUUGCCCAGUUCCAGACCU
Long non-coding RNA from Manis pentadactyla (Chinese pangolin), 3733 nucleotides. RefSeq lists it as uncharacterized. The transcript is spliced from 3 exons. The record is from RefSeq and is a predicted model, not a curated record. Lineage: Eukaryota; Metazoa; Chordata; Mammalia; Pholidota; Manidae.